AGUGAACGCUGGCGGUAGGCCUAACACAUGCAAGUCGAGCGGCAGCACAGUAAGAGCUUGCUCUUACGGGUGGCGAGUGGCGGACGGGUGAGGAAUACAUCGGAAUCUACUUUUUCGUGGGGGAUAACGUAGGGAAACUUACGCUAAUACCGCAUACGACCUACGGGUGAAAGCAGGGGAUCUUCGGACCUUGCGCGAUUGAAUGAGCCGAUGUCGGAUUAGCUAGUUGGCGGGGUAAAGGCCCACCAAGGCGACGAUCCGUAGCUGGUCUGAGAGGAUGAUCAGCCACACUGGAACUGAGACACGGUCCAGACUCCUACGGGAGGCAGCAGUGGGGAAUAUUGGACAAUGGGCGCAAGCCUGAUCUAGCCAUACCGCGUGGGUGAAGAAGGCCUUCGGGUUGUAAAGCCCUUUUGUUGGGAAAGAAAAGCAGCAGGUUAAUACCCCGCUGUUCUGACGGUACCCAAAGAAUAAGCACCGGCUAACUUCGUG
RNAcentral lists this ribosomal RNA (492 nucleotides) under uncultured bacterium. RNAcentral describes it as "partial 16S ribosomal RNA". It matches the Rfam family "Bacterial small subunit ribosomal RNA", at positions 29 to 507 of the family's 1533-position model. The record is from RNAcentral.